CUUCAGCGAGCCGAUCAGCACGGGCCGGUCCGCCGCGCGGUCCUUCCCGUACGUGGCGAGCAGCGCGCCCGCCUC
Molecule: antisense RNA, 75 nt
Filed under: Streptomyces sp. PRh5
Lineage: Bacteria; Bacillati; Actinomycetota; Actinomycetes; Kitasatosporales; Streptomycetaceae
Description: ASpks sRNA
Rfam family: ASpks TB sRNA
Source: RNAcentral